This 586-nucleotide ribosomal RNA is filed under the name uncultured bacterium. RNAcentral describes it as "bacterial SSU rRNA". It matches the Rfam family "Bacterial small subunit ribosomal RNA", at positions 224 to 801 of the family's 1533-position model. The record is from RNAcentral.
GAUGGACCCGCGGUGCAUUAGCUAGUUGGUGAGGUAACGGCUCACCAAGGCAACGAUGCAUAGCCGACCUGAGAGGGUGAUCGGCCACACUGGGACUGAGACACGGCCCAGACUCCUACGGGAGGCAGCAGUAGGGAAUCUUCGGCAAUGGACGAAAGUCUGACCGAGCAACGCCGCGUGAGUGAAGAAGGUUUUCGGAUCGUAAAACUCUGUUGUUAGAGAAGAACAAGGAUGAGAGUAAAAUGUUCAUCCCUUGACGGUAUCUAACCGGAAAGCCACGGCUAGCUACGUGCCAGCAGCCGCGGUAAUACGUAGGUGGCAAGCGUUGUCCGGAUUUAUUGGGCGUAAAGCGAGCGCAGGCGGUUUCUUAAGUCUGAUGUGAAAGCCCCCGGCUCAACCGGGGAGGGUCAUUGGAAACUGGGAGACUUGAGUGCAGAAGAGGAGAGUGGAAUUCCAUGUGUAGCGGUGAAAUGCGUAGAUAUAUGGAGGAACACCAGUGGCGAAGGCGGCUCUCUGGUCUGUAACUGACGCUGAGGCUCGAAAGCGUGGGGAGCGAACAGGAUUAGAUACCCUGGUAGUCCACGCC